ACAAGCGGUGGAUGAUGUGGUUUAAUCGAUGCAACGCGAAAACCUUACCACCUUUGACAUGUACGGAAUCCUUUAGAGAUAGAGGAGUGCUCGAAAGAGAGCCGUAACACAGGUGCUGCAUGGCUGUCGUCAGCUCGUGUCGUGAGAUGUUGGGUUAAGUCCCGCAACGAGCGCAACCCUUGUCAUUAGUUGCUACAUUCAGUUGGGCACUCUAAUGAGACUGCCGGUGACAAGCCGGAGGAAGGUGGGGAUGACGUCAAGUCCUCAUGGCCCUUAUAGGUGGGGCUACACACGUCAUACAAUGGCUGGUACAAAGGGUUGCCAACCCGCGAGGGGGAGCCAAUCCAUCAAAGCCGGUCGUAGUCCGGAUCGCAGUCUGCAACUCGACUGCGUGAAGUCGGAAUCGCUAGUAAUCGUGGAUCAGCAUGUCACGGUGAAUACGUUCCCGGGUCUU
This 454-nucleotide ribosomal RNA is filed under the name uncultured Rhodoferax sp. RNAcentral describes it as "bacterial SSU rRNA". It matches the Rfam family "Bacterial small subunit ribosomal RNA", at positions 925 to 1382 of the family's 1533-position model. The record is from RNAcentral. Lineage: Bacteria; Pseudomonadati; Pseudomonadota; Betaproteobacteria; Burkholderiales; Comamonadaceae.